AAUAAUUUCCGAAGGCAACCCGUCGCUAAGUAUUUAAAGUGGAUGCGCCGAGGGAUUGGAUUCAUUUAGAUUUCUAAUUUUACUUUUCUUUCUAACAUCCUCUCCCUAUUGUCUAAUUAGUUCUUUCCUUUUCUUAUUAGAAUAAAUUUAAAAUAGUAAGGACAAGUUUGAUUUUAGGACAAAAGUCUAGGAAGAGAAUUAAGGAAGACAAUGAGAGAAGAAAGGUAG
Molecule: long non-coding RNA, 228 nt
Filed under: Elaeis guineensis (African oil palm)
Lineage: Eukaryota; Viridiplantae; Streptophyta; Magnoliopsida; Arecales; Arecaceae
Description: long non-coding RNA (EGUI_LNC047886)
Source: RNAcentral